GACAGAGGUUGCAAACGUUGUUCGGAAUCACUGGGCAUAAAGCGCACGUAGGCGGUCUGUUAAGUCAGGUGUGAAAGCCCCCGGCUCAACCGGGGAAUUGCAUUUGAUACUGGCAGGCUCGAGAACGGUAGGGGUGAGUGGAACUCCAGGUGGAGCGGUGAAAUGCGUAGAUAUCUGGAGGAACACCGGUGGCGAAAGCGGCUCACUGGACCGUCACUGACGCUGAGGUGCGAAAUCUAGGGUAGCAAACGGG
RNAcentral lists this ribosomal RNA (253 nucleotides) under uncultured bacterium. RNAcentral describes it as "partial 16S ribosomal RNA". It matches the Rfam family "Bacterial small subunit ribosomal RNA", at positions 524 to 776 of the family's 1533-position model. The record is from RNAcentral.